CGCUCGUUUGCUUCCUGCGAAGGAAGAGCUCCUCUCCUCUCCUCUCUGUGUUCAUCUACUCUCAUACGUUGGUUGUGAUCUCCCCGGCCCCCAACUCCUCAGAACCAUCCAAGACCCUCUGGGGGGGAGGAAUCCUCUUCCGCUACUAGAGUUUCUUCGCCGAGGAGGAGGAGGGGUUCCGAAGGAGGAAGGUGGCGCCGUGGGAGGGGGCGUGGACCGCUGUGUCGCCACCGGGAUCUAGGAGUUCGCGGAUGAGGAAGAUUUCAUCAAGGCGGGCGGGAGCGAGCGGCUCUUCGUCCAAAUGCAGGAAGGAAAGCCCAUGGAGAAGCAGGGCCAAAUCGCCGAAAAGGUUAUAUGGAGGAGGCAUGGAGCUGUAAGAUGCUAAAUAACCACUUGUUGGCCUUGGAGAUUGUAAUUCAGGAGCUGGUGAUUACAGUGGUGGUGACAGGUUCGACUUUGUUCAAGUAAAUAGCAGCAUGGAACCAGAGUGUUGGAUUUGAAUCUAGGCAAUGUGGAGGCUUCAUGUCUCUGCUGAUCAAAGGGCAAGGUUGUUAAUGUCAACUGAGAGACUCAACAAGUCUAGUGACAGGAUAAAGGAGAGCAUAAGGUCAACACUGGAGUCAGAAGAAGUUGGUGUUUCAGUUCUUCAAGGCUUGGAUCAACAAGGGCAACCUCUCUUACAUGCCCAUUUAACUGUAUGUUUCUGUGUUAAUCUUCUUGUUCUUAUGACAGCUUCAUGUACUUUUUUUCAUGGGUUAAUCUUUCAUUUUCAGUGCCA
Musa acuminata AAA Group (dessert banana) is the source of this 778-nucleotide long non-coding RNA. RefSeq lists it as uncharacterized. Lineage: Eukaryota; Viridiplantae; Streptophyta; Magnoliopsida; Zingiberales; Musaceae. The record is from RefSeq and is a predicted model, not a curated record. The transcript has 4 exons.